ACCUUGUUUGAAAGAAGCGUGGAUCCUGCAUCAGUGGCAAUGAUGACCACCAGGGGGCAGACGAGAGCAUCCUUAGAAUUAUGCAGACACUCAGCCCUCCUUCUAGGGGUGGAGAAAGAAAGGGCAAGGUCGUAUCUUUCUUCUGAGAAGUGUGGUGUGAGGCCAGUUCCUGAAGAUGCUGGUGCUUCUGCUGCUUCUAGGACCCAGCUCUGGGCUUGGUGCUCUCGUCUCUCAGCAGCCCCGCAGGGCUGUCAGUAAGAGUGGAGCCUCUGUGACCAUCGAGUGCCAUGCAGUGGACCUUCAAGCUACAACCGUGUUCUGGUACCGUCAGUUCCCGAAACGAGGCCUCGUGCUGAUGGCAACUUCUAAUGUGGGCAGUAAUGCCACAUAUGAACAAGGUUAUAACAAGGACAAGUUUCCCAUCAGUCAUCCAGAUCUAACAUUUUCAUCUCUGAUGGUGACAAGUGUGGAUCCUGCAGACAGCGGCCUCUACUUCUGCUGUGCUAGAGACACAGCGCUGGGCAGAGAUCAGAGACCCAGACAAGAAUCCUGGUAGCAACCCCCUUCCCCACCCCACUGAACCAUGGGGCCCUGUGGAAGGAGGUGUGGAGAGAGAAAAGCCACAGCCUCUCUGACUGAGUCAUCUGUGGCUGUGUGUGUAGAGAGAGAAAGGGAGAGAAAAUAUCUGAGAGCGGAGAGAAG
This is a non-coding RNA of Bubalus bubalis (water buffalo), 702 nucleotides long. The record is from the annotation of a RefSeq genome assembly. NCBI's taxonomy places the organism in Eukaryota, Metazoa, Chordata, Mammalia, Artiodactyla, Bovidae.